Cataglyphis hispanica is the source of this 867-nucleotide long non-coding RNA. RefSeq lists it as uncharacterized. Lineage: Eukaryota; Metazoa; Arthropoda; Insecta; Hymenoptera; Formicidae. The transcript is spliced from 3 exons. The record is from RefSeq and is a predicted model, not a curated record.
UUUUUUUAUUCUUUCUUGAUACAUGUUUGUAUAUAUAUUUUAUAUAUUUUAUAUAAAAGUUGUGAUUUUUUGUAACAGUGCUAUUGGAGGGUCUCCAAAUCUCCAAUGUGCUUGUAGAUAAGUACAACCCUGAUAAUUGAUACUAUAUUUUACACAUACAUUGGUAGCGCACAAACACAUGCUAUACAUGUAUGGCAGUAACAUUCAGUCUUGCUAAGGUCGCACUGUAUCGCGUUCUUUCUCUGCAUGCAUGUUUAUGCAAUAUUUUUCCAAUAAUAUUAAUUAUCAUUGCGCGAACAUUGACUCUGAUUUAAUGAAUGUACAUAAUCAUUAAUUGUGAUUACAACAAGAACGUAAUUAUGGAUUCUAAUCCAUUUUGUUUUUGACUGGUUUGUAGAAUGUAUUUAUUUUAUUAUUCUUUUUUUUUCAAUGACGUGGACAGCUCUUGAAAAGUGAUUAAACACAUUUUGAUUAUAGAUGAACGCGAAAUAAUGACUGUUGAUACAGAGAUUAAAUGCGCAAUGAGAACACGAAACGUCAUGCAGAUGGAUCAUCUCACUCGUAUUAUAUAUAUGUGUCAAUAAUCGCACAAGGCCGCGAGAGGAACGAAAAUAUAUGGUGGAUAUAUUUAGAAAUCACACGUUGUGAGACGAGUCUUGACGAGUUGUCUCAUCAUUCAACAGUCGCGAUUCACCAUUUUUUGGAAAAUCAAUCUUUUGCAGAUCAUUAUAUGAGGAACUGAUCCCAUCCAAGAAGUCACAUAGAGAACGGAAUUAUGAAAUCAGUGUCCGGUUGAAGUUCUCGGGUUUCGGCUCGAUGCAGAAAAUACGCUCGCGUUACGAAACAAUAGUGUUGCGCGUACGAUAU